This 290-nucleotide long non-coding RNA is filed under the name Populus trichocarpa (black cottonwood). Its description in RNAcentral is "long non-coding RNA (PTRI_LNC004843)". The record is from RNAcentral. Lineage: Eukaryota; Viridiplantae; Streptophyta; Magnoliopsida; Malpighiales; Salicaceae.
AUCAGGAGGCUGUAGAGCUGUGGCUAGUGUUGGUCUUUCUGUCAUGUCCCUAACAAAUCUUUCAGGGAUUGUUGCUGGCCUAGCCUUUCUCAGUUCUUGAACAUCAUCAAUAUGACCAACGUUAAUUGGAGAAAUGGGAACAGGAGCCAUGGAAAAUAGAAUUUGGAAAUGUGUCAAAAAAUUAGUGAAAGCUAAGGAAGAAGUUUUACCUGAUAGCUUCAAGCUUACACGACUCUGCAUUUAUAGAAGGAGAAAGUGCAGUUUGCAUUGUUAAAUGCCCAGUGGUCUUC